RNAcentral lists this ribosomal RNA (400 nucleotides) under uncultured bacterium. RNAcentral describes it as "bacterial SSU rRNA". It matches the Rfam family "Bacterial small subunit ribosomal RNA", at positions 356 to 773 of the family's 1533-position model. The record is from RNAcentral.
GGGGAAUAUUGGACAAUGGGGGAAACCCUGAUCCAGCGACGCCGCGUGAGUGAAGAAGUGUUUCGGCAUGUAAAGCUCUAUCAGCAGGGAAGAAAAUGACGGUACCUGACUAAGAAGCCCCGGCUAACUACGUGCCAGCAGCCGCGGUAAUACGUAGGGGGCAAGCGUUAUCCGGAUUUACUGGGUGUAAAGGGAGCGUAGGUGGUUCGGCAAGUCAGAUGUGAAAGCCCGGGGCCCAACCCCGGGACUGCAUUUGAAACUGUCGGACUAGAGUGCAGGAGAGGUAAGUGGAAUUCCUAGUGUAGCGGUGAAAUGCGUAGAUAUUAGGAGGAACACCAGUGGCGAAGGCGGCUUACUGGACUGUAACUGACACUGAGGCUCGAAAGCGUGGGGAGCAAAC